Molecule: long non-coding RNA, 846 nt
Organism: Amphimedon queenslandica
Lineage: Eukaryota; Metazoa; Porifera; Demospongiae; Haplosclerida; Niphatidae
Exons: 6
Source: RefSeq, a predicted model, not a curated record
CGCCCAGGACCGCCCUCCACGUGCAGUCUACAACUCUCGGACAUAGUUUUAGACCUCGUCUUUAGUUUCCUGUUUCGCUGCUCUCCUCUAGAAACACGUUACUUAUUAAGAAGAAAUAAGACCACUAUCCGGAUAUUUUGAUGAAAUAAAAGGAGCUAUUUUACACCAUGGGUCUCUUAUGUUUCUGUGCUUUACUAGUAGCGAAGGGGUGGGGUGAGACUAGUGCUUUACAAGAUAUAUAUUCGACGUUGGAUGAAAUUUUGGGUUCUGCAUCUUAUUCUAGUGGUGUACAUGUAUGUUGAUUAUCCUGGUCCCUCUCCCACAUCCCUCAGUCAGAUGUAUGCUGCAUUCAACAUUCAAUAGAGCAAUAUGCAAUGCAUAAUACCUAAGCUAAGGGCCUGCACUGAUCCAUUCACUACUAAUGCAAUGGUAGAGUUAUUUACAAUAUCACAGAAAUGAAGUUUCAUUCUCUCUCACCUCAUGCUAAUUUCUCUCUGUUCCUUGCAGUGGAAGUCAAUCUUAAAAUCCUCAUUAAUCUUUUUGAGAACCUCUCAGAUCCUGAUUUGAUCAGGGCCUUUGCUACCGUACUUGUCAUUAGAAUGUGUGGGGAGCCACAUGAGAGGACCCAGCCCUGGUUUGGUUAUAUGCCAUAUAUUACAAGAGAGACUAGGAUAUGCACCAGUGGUUUGAUUAAAAAGUAUGAGUUUAAUGAGUCUGAUUUGGGAAUGGCUUGUGGUAGGCUGGACACUAAAACAGUGAAAGACUAUACUACCAACUGAUGAGAUAUUCUGGAGUGCUCGUUUCUUUCAGUGUAUUUAUGGUGGACGUAUUGAUGAUGAAUUUGAU